AUUGAACGCUGGCGGCAUGCCUUACACAUGCAAGUCGAACGGUAACAGGUUAAGCUGACGAGUGGCGAACGGGUGAGUAAUGUAUCGGAACGUGCCCAGUCGUGGGGGAUAACGUAGCGAAAGCUACGCUAAUACCGCAUACGAUCUAUGGAUGAAAGCGGGGGAUCGCAAGACCUCGCGCGAUUGGAGUGGCCGAUAUCAGAUUAGGUAGUUGGUGGGGUAAAGGCCUACCAAGCCGACGAUCUGUAGCUGGUCUGAGAGGACGACCAGCCACACUGGGACUGAGACACGGCCCAGACUCCUACGGGAGGCAGCAGUGGGGAAUUUUGGUCAAUGGAUGCAAGUCUGAACCAGCCAUGCCGCGUGCAGGAAGAAGGGCCCUUUCUGGGUUGUAAACUGCUUUUGCCAGGGGAUAAAAUUUCCAUGCGUGGAAAACUGAAGGUACCUGGUGAAUAAGCCACGGCUAACUACGUGCCAGCAGCCGCGGUAA
This 490-nucleotide ribosomal RNA is filed under the name uncultured bacterium. RNAcentral describes it as "bacterial SSU rRNA". It matches the Rfam family "Bacterial small subunit ribosomal RNA", at positions 30 to 523 of the family's 1533-position model. The record is from RNAcentral.